CGGUUUUAGCGACAGAAGAAGCACCGGCUAACUCCGUGCCAGCAGCCGCGGUAAUACGGAGGGUGCGAGCGUUAAUCGGAAUUACUGGGCGUAAAGCGCAUGCAGGUGGUUUGUUAAGUCAGAUGUGAAAGCCCGGGGCUCAACCUCGGAAUAGCAUUUGAAACUGGCAGACUAGAGUACUGUAGAGGGGGGUAGGAAUUUCAGGUGUAGCGGUGAAAUGCGUAGAGAUCUGAAGGAAUACCGGUGGCGAAGGCGGCCCCCUCGGACAGAUACUGACACUCAGAUGCGAAAGCGUGGGGAGCAAACAGGAUUAGAUACCCUGGUAG
Molecule: ribosomal RNA, 326 nt
Filed under: uncultured bacterium
Lineage: Bacteria
Description: bacterial SSU rRNA
Rfam family: Bacterial small subunit ribosomal RNA
Source: RNAcentral